Molecule: long non-coding RNA, 1297 nt
Filed under: Mytilus galloprovincialis (Mediterranean mussel)
Lineage: Eukaryota; Metazoa; Mollusca; Bivalvia; Mytilida; Mytilidae
Source: RNAcentral
CUCAUCUCUUACUAUACAUUUUGGAUAAAUGAAAUUUUAAGACUGCAAUUUUUUUGUUUUUUGUUUGUGUUUGUUUGUGUGUGAGUGUGUGUGUAAAAGGGGGGGGGGAGAUAUCAUGCUUAUACAAAGCAUGAAUUGCAAAUAAGUGUGAUUUUGUUAUACCCCUUACUAUUCUGAAUCUGAGAAACAUUUAACAAAAUUGCAACAUAAUACAACUCCGGAUUUCCAUUUUAAAUCGAAUGUGAAAAUAUGUCAGCUGUGCAAACGUUCUAAAUUUUGAAACACCUGCGAUGUACAUUUACCAAGGACAAGCAUAUGAUACUGAUGUCGUGAUUAAUUAUACGUAAACAUAAUAUCAUUUUACAGCAUUAACAAUACAAUAUAUUUAUAGUUCUCUUUAAAUGGGCAAAAAUAUAUAAAUCACCAUAAACCUUAAAAAUGUCAAAUCAUUAACUUUCUUAUUAUGUUACAUUUGUAAGUGCAUUGAUAGGGUAGUUGCAAUUAUUAUCCAUUGUGAAAGGAAAGAUAUGCGAUCUGUCGUGCAAAAUGCAAGACAGUUUUAAUUGAAUUGUCCUCUUGUUUGAAAUCAUUUUAUGAUAUACUAUACUCUAUAAGCUAUUAAGUUGUGAAACUCCUUUCUUUCGUCCUGUUUUUGGAUGUUAAGUACCUGAACGUUUAAGAUGUCUGCAUGUUGAUUUAUAUUUACAUAUGAUGUCCUUGUAUCUAUGAUGAAAUUUAGUAAAUGUUUUGACUAGUUUGUGAUAUCGAAAACCCUUAUUAGGAAUGGAUUGAGAAACAGACAGGAAGAUGGACAGAUACAUUUACCAAAAAAAUAAUACCCUUCUAUUGGAGCAUACAACUUAGCCUCACAAGAUGUUAUAAUUGUUUGGACAAGCAAGAUUAAAGCACUUGAACUAAAAAUUGAAAACCACAUUGCGUCACUAGACCCAGCCCCUACUAUCGAAAGUAGAAAAAAGUUGACCGCCACUCAAAAAUCGAUUUUACAAUCGGCAAGCAUUUCCGGUUUUAAUUCAAGUUAUCGAAUUUAUGACUCGUGUUUUAAUUCACUUGGUCGAGGUUAACUAUCAUUAUCGAAACAAUUCACAUUAUCGACCGUUAAUGCAUUAUCAAAAAAGUAACCAUCAUUAUCUGAGCGCGAGUCACAUUAAUUAGAUCAUCUAUGAUGGUCGAACGUAAAGUAUACUUUACGCUGACUAUCUAUAAUGAUCGACCGAUAAACUAUCAUUAUCCCCGAUAAACUGUGAUUAUCUAUUAAUGUGGUUUCCGCGUUCCAUAA